This 496-nucleotide ribosomal RNA is filed under the name uncultured bacterium. Its description in RNAcentral is "partial 16S ribosomal RNA". It matches the Rfam family "Bacterial small subunit ribosomal RNA", at positions 28 to 507 of the family's 1533-position model. The record is from RNAcentral.
GAUGAACGCUGGCGGCGUGCCUAAUACAUGCAAGUCGAGCGAACGGACGAGAAGCUUGCUUCUCUGACGUUAGCGGCGGACGGGUGAGUAACACGUGGAUAACCUACCUAUAAGACUGGGAUCACUUCGGGAAACCGGAGCUAAUACCGGAUAAUAUCUUGAACCGCAUGGUUCAAUAGUGAAAGACGGUCUUGCUGUCACUUAUAGCUGGAUCCGGGCUGCAUUAGUUAGUUGGUAAGGUAACGGCUUACCAAGGCAACGGUGCAUAGCCGACCUGAGAGGGGGGUGGCCGACUGUGAAGGUGAAACACGGCACAGGCACUUAGGUGAGGCAGAGGUGGGUACGCUACGGAAAUGGGCGAAAGCUUGACGGAGCAACGCCAGGUGGAUGAUGAAGGGCUGCGGGCGGUAAAACGCUGUUAGUGGGGAAAAACAUUUUUGUAUGUAACGGUGCGCGACUGACGGGAACGGAUAAAGAAGGCCCGGCUAAAUACGUU